Long non-coding RNA from Oxyura jamaicensis (ruddy duck), 512 nucleotides. RefSeq lists it as uncharacterized. The record is from RefSeq and is a predicted model, not a curated record. Lineage: Eukaryota; Metazoa; Chordata; Aves; Anseriformes; Anatidae. The transcript has 2 exons.
UGUCCUGACAUUCUUCUGAUAAUUCACUGCACAUGGAAUCUCAGCUAGUGGUUGCUAAAUCCGCAGUAGACAGGCAACAGCAGCAGUAUGUUGGCUUUGCUAAUGAGAUUAUGGCAACCAUGUCUGAGUUGCACUCUACUCUUCCCCUGCCUCAGAACUCAAAAUUAAAACCCUAGGAGCUUUGGGGCAUAUUGUUUAUAAAGGUGCUUCUGGUGCUCUGGCAUCUCAUAUGAGAUGUGUCCGGGGAGGAAGAAUACCAAGGGUGACUGUCCUCUUGUAGAGCUCACACAUCUGCCAUGGAAGCAAUGGAUUUCUGUGCUGACCUGCUGAUGACAUAACUACGAUGCUGUUCUUCAUUGCCUUUAAUAUUUUGUUGUCUUCAGGUGCUCAGUUAGUUCUGCUGAAAUCCUUGCAUCAGGCAUUAAGUUCAGUAUUGCUUAUUCUAAAGGCCUUAAAGGUCAUGACUUGCAUAUAAGUGGUAGAUUUAUUUCAUAAUAGACUAAAUGACAAAG